ACGAACGCUGGCGGCGUGCUUCACACAUGCAAGUCGAACGGAAAGGCCUAGCUUGCUGGGUACUCGAGUGGCGAACGGGUGAGUAACACGUGGGUGAUCUGCCCCUGACUUUGGGAUAAGCCUGGGAAACUGGGUCUAAUACCGGAUAUUCAUUUUUCCUCGCAUGGGGAUUUGUGGAAAGCUUUUGCGGUUGGGGAUGGGCCCGCGGCCUAUCAGCUUGUUGGUGGGGUAAUGGCCUACCAAGGCGACGACGGGUAGCCGACCUGAGAGGGUGAUCGGCCACACUGGGACUGAGACACGGCCCAGACUCCUACGGGAGGCAGCAGUGGGGAAUAUUGCACAAUGGGCGCAAGCCUGAUGCAGCGACGCCGCGUGAGGGAUGACGGCCUUCGGGUUGUAAACCUCUUUCAGCUCCGACGAAGCGCAAGUGGCGGUAGGAGCAGAAGAAGCACCGGCCAACUACGUG
This 466-nucleotide ribosomal RNA is filed under the name uncultured bacterium. Its description in RNAcentral is "partial 16S ribosomal RNA". It matches the Rfam family "Bacterial small subunit ribosomal RNA", at positions 29 to 507 of the family's 1533-position model. The record is from RNAcentral.